GAUACGGCAAGCCCAAGGGCCCAACUGCAGAAAGUCAAACUUGGAGCCUUUGGGCAGGUUUAGUAACUGUUUGAAGAGCCGCCAGAGCCCGAUCUGUCUUCUGAAGUGUUGAAGAGGGGGCGGGGCUGGGUUUCAUUUCAUGCCUUGGCCCCGGAGGGUUGGAAAUGUGGGGGGGUUUGAGGGGGGGUUUGCAAAUGAGGCUCCAGUCCUUAAAAGGGCUUUCUGAUUAAGUAAAAAAUAUUUUUAUUUUUUAUUUUGGACUCUGCCUUUCUGUGAUAAAACCAAACUCAUGAUGGUUUUAGAAACACACACACACACACACAUGUAUCUUAAUCUUUAAAAAAAUGUCCUGUAAAGCCCCCCAGAGCUCACCUGCACUUACUCUAGGGUCAGGGUGCAUCAUAGGAUUGCUGUAUUGGGCUUACCUGGAACUAAGUUUCAUUAAACUCGACACAUAUUUAGAGUUGAAUUAGAUACAGUACAUAUGUAUGAAAGUGUUCAUCAGGGCAUAUACAGAGCACACAAAUCCAAAUGCCACAGGGUUAAAUGAAUCCAUAGGUCUUCUAAGGUGUCCGCAAUUAUUUUUUAAAAAACAAAAUUAUUUAUUUUACAUAUUUUCCUGCUCGUGAUAAAACCUUGCAAGCGGCUUGCAAGAAAUAUUAACAUUAUUGGUUUGAAAAAAACUGGUUUAAAACCUUUAACAUAAUUAAACCCUAUAAAAAUUAUAUAUAUCUAGAUGCAGAAUAAAAAAAAUGUCUGCAGCAGUGCAGAUACAGUAUUUGUCAUUUUUGAGGUUAGUAAGUAAUAGGAAAGCAGUGCAUCAAGUAAGCAAUGGAACAAAUAAUAAUUUACUGCCCCACAAAAGACCCCCCAUAAAAUAAAAUUAUUUUUUGUUUUGUUUGUUAGCAACCUACCCAACAGUGCAUCUGCCAGAACAACAUUUUCAGCAAAACUCUUUGUUACAAGUGGGAGACAAAGAAGAUAAGGCCAGAAGAUAAUGGGGGUGUUGUGUCUGUUAUCCUUAUUGGGAAACGGCCCGAAGUCACCAUCAGAUCAAAAGUGUCCAGAUCAAUAGAAGACAAUAUAUCUGGCAGAUGGAGCCCUACACAGAUGCAGAGUGGAGCCCCUAAGAUGGUUGGGUGGCAUUUUGUAGGCCUCCUUCUGGCAAAAGACAGGGC
Podarcis lilfordi (Lilford's wall lizard) is the source of this 1178-nucleotide non-coding RNA. Lineage: Eukaryota; Metazoa; Chordata; Lepidosauria; Squamata; Lacertidae. The record is from the annotation of a GenBank genome assembly.